Long non-coding RNA from Sitophilus oryzae (rice weevil), 463 nucleotides. RefSeq lists it as uncharacterized. The transcript is spliced from 4 exons. Lineage: Eukaryota; Metazoa; Arthropoda; Insecta; Coleoptera; Curculionidae. The record is from RefSeq and is a predicted model, not a curated record.
CAAUACAAAUUGAUAUUAAUGGACGUUUUGACAGCUGUUUCCCGUCCAAGUUCCAGUUUUAAUGGAAAAUCUUUAAAGGACACAGAAAAAUGUAAUUUACUGGAUUGACUUCAACACCUGUUGCCUUUUAAUAAUGGUAUGAACUGCUGUUACUUAAUAGCUGUUAGAGCGGAUCCAGUUCUUUAUCAAUGGUAUAAGAUGGGACAAUAGCUAUUAAAAAUCCACAAGCCGUACUAUCUGCAAAUAUUAUGGUGGACAUCAAAAAGCUUUAAAUGCAAUGAAACUUGCAGGAAAAGACUCAGAAAGACUAUUUAGGACUGUACUUAAUAGCUGUUAGUAUGGUCGCAGUCCUUCAUCACUGAUAUCUCCGCAUUUUCUUAACUAUGGAUAUCAACAGUUGCUCCUACUCCUUGCUUUCCUCUUUCACUCAACAUGAAGCAGACUCAAUACUCCUCAAUGUCUC